GGUCUUUUCACCUCUGCAAUCAAGCUAUCCCAAUAAAUGUGUGCAGAAGGAUCCUGUUGUGGCGUCUUUUAGCUGGAAAUAUCUACAAUGGCCUAGACAUUACUGUUCAUCUCAUGAAGGCAGCCAUAUGAGAACUUAAGCAGGAUCUUUGGAAAUAUGCACCUACCAUCUGAAGACUACAUAUAUUUCAGCUAAGAGAUCUAUAUACUUCAAAUGAACAAAUGAUUUGGAUAGCACAUAACAGACACCUCCCCCGAAGCACUUCUGUGAAGAAAGCAAUGGCAGCUUUAACGAUGGAGAGGAAUCAGAGCCCAAAAGAACCUGGGAACUGAUUCCAUGCUGGUCUCUUCUGCUCCUUCCCUUGUCUAUUGAGUCUAUUUCAUUUCCUGCCUCUAUUUUUCCCAUUGAUAUUGGGCAAUUCUCUCCCAAAUGCCUAAAAUAAUAGUUCUGUCGUGUAGCUGGCUGACAAUCCGUCAUACAAUCAAAACCAUGCUGGCCAGAUAUGGGCAACCGCUUCUCAGCCUUUGCUGGCCCAUCUGUCACUCUCCAUACAUUAGUUGGGAAAGUAUUUGGUGAUCAGAGACUAUCUAGCAAGCUUGAGCACAUGUGCACACCAUAACACACACACACACACACACACACACACACACACACACACACACACACACACACCGAGUAUGGAAUUGUGUGUGGGGUAUAUAUUUAUCUAGAACAUAAGCCAAUAUUUUUCAACAACAAUCUUACCUAUGUUUAUAACACCAUUUGCAGCUGUCUUAAUUUCAAAAUAAACUAUUCCUUCCCCAAACAAGAGACACACUGAAACGUUACCAUAACUCCUGUUUUUCAAAAUACCCUUAUUUGUACCCCAGAGAGACCCAAGCUGGGGCUCACAUUCACACAAGCCCGUAUAUACUCAAAGGAACAACAAUAUUUGAGACAAAAGGAAAACCUAAAGACAGUUGCUUUAGUCCUUAAUAUAAUGCUUAUUUUUUUCACAUUAAUAUGUAAAAAUUCCCCAGGGGCUAGUUACAGGCUUGCAUUGCUAUUUUUAUUUUAUCAAUAAUAAUUAUGUUUUUUUUUUAUUGACUGCUUCUUUUCCAGGGAACCCAAAGUGUAUGCAAAUCCUUUAUCUUUUCCCUUAUGCCAUCUUUGAGGCAUAGCCAAGAGGCAGAUCAUUUUAUCACAAUCAAAAAAGAUAGAAAUUAGUAGAGAUGCCAGCACAGAGAAUGGAAACUGGUCCUGGAUUUAGUGCAAGAUUUUACUACUGCCCUCCCUGAAACACCCGUCUCUCCAACCAUUGCCUCUCUGGCAGAACCUUUUGAAAGGUUCGUUUAGUUAUAACUUUUCACUGCCUGGGCUGCAGCUUGUGGGAGCUUGGUUGACCUAUCCCUCCAACCUUCUUUUAUACCACUCUCUUCACUUAAUACUCUGCACUGAUACCAGCUGCCUAAGAGUUGGGUACCCUAGAAUCAUCCCCACGUGAGAGCCAUGUGCUAUGAUGAUGCCAAGGAGAUGAGCAGGAAUAUGAGCAAGUGGGAUGAAGAAGGAAGGGACCAAGCCAGGAAAGGAAAAAUCAUCUAUCUAAUUUCAAAGGGGUUGGAUCUCCUGCCUUCCACCAUCAAGCCCUUAUCUGCGACUCCACCAGGAAGUCUGAAGCAGCAAUCACCGAAGUCCUAUAGUUCGCAAUGGAAUCUCCAUCUGUCAGCCCUCCAUCACCCCUCGCGUCUCUGCGCAGGUAUGGACCUGGGCAGCAAGGACUUCUGUGACAGCUCCUCUAUCGCACCCUUCCUUCUCUCAGUACCAACAGGCCUGCUUCUCUCCAUGCCUGUCUGAGAACCCACUUACAAGCUCCUCUUGGAGAGAGAAAUAGUAUAAUUGGAAGCAUGCAUUACACCAUGUAAUUGACAAGAUAAGGAUGCACCCUCAGUCCGGCUCAACUCAAUUAGAAUAUUUUUACUGCUUAAUUUGGUCUGAAGAAUCUUGCAGGAAAAACAAAACCUGCUCUUAUAGCAAUAGGCGAAGCCCAACAAACAUGCACACAUUAUCCCCCUGCUGCAUGCGUCUUGGUAAUGGGUCACCUCCCUCAGCAACUGGACGUCCUUUGGUUAAAAUGCCCUGAGCUGUUUGUGCGGCAAGUACUUUGAGCCCCUCCAAAAUCAAUGACCUUCUUUGUGCCAGUAUACCGGAAGAGAAAAAAAGAGGGAGAGAAAGGGAGAAGAGAGGAGAGAAGAAAGGAGAAAAGAGAAGACCAUGUAUGCUGAGUGAUACUUGUAUUCAUAGUCCUGUGAGUUUCUGUUUAAAACAAGAAAAGACUUGGCUUUUGUACUAUUAAAGUUUUACCCUUGCUUCA
RNAcentral lists this long non-coding RNA (2350 nucleotides) under Mus musculus (house mouse). RNAcentral's name for it is "RIKEN cDNA C330011F03 gene (C330011F03Rik)". Lineage: Eukaryota; Metazoa; Chordata; Mammalia; Rodentia; Muridae. The record is from RNAcentral.